GAUGAACGCUGGCGGCGUGCCUAAUACAUGCAAGUCGAGCGAACGGACGAGAAGCUUGCUUCUCUGAUGUUAGCGGCGGACGGGUGAGUAACACGUGGAUAACCUACCUAUAAGACUGGGAUAACUUCGGGAAACCGGAGCUAAUACCGGAUAAUAUUUUGAACCGCAUGGUUCAAAAGUGAAAGACGGUCUUGCUGUCACUUAUAGAUGGAUCCGCGCUGCAUUAGCUAGUUGGUAAGGUAACGGCUUACCAAGGCAACGAUGCAUAGCCGACCUGAGAGGGUGAUCGGCCACACUGGAACUGAGACACAGUACAGACUCCUACGGGAGGCAGCAGUAGGGAAUCUUCCGCAAUGGGCGAAAGCCUGACGGAGCAACGCCGCGUGAGUGAUGAAGGUCUUCGGAUCGUAAAACUCUGUUAUUAGGGAAGAACAUAUGUGUAAGUAACUGUGAACAUCUUGACGGUACCGAAUCAGAAAGCCACGGCUAACUACGUG
This 497-nucleotide ribosomal RNA is filed under the name uncultured bacterium. RNAcentral's name for it is "partial 16S ribosomal RNA". It matches the Rfam family "Bacterial small subunit ribosomal RNA", at positions 28 to 507 of the family's 1533-position model. The record is from RNAcentral.